UACGGAGGGAGCUAGCGUUGUUCGGAAUUACUGGGCGUAAAGGGCACGUAGGCGGCUUUGUAAGUUAGAGGUGAAAGCCCGGGGCUCAACCCCGGAAUUGCCUUUAAGACUGCAUCGCUUGAAUACGGGAGAGGUGAGUGGAAUUCCGAGUGUAGAGGUGAAAUUCGUAGAUAUUCGGAAGAACACCAGUGGCGAAGGCGGCUCACUGGACCGGCAUUGACGCUGAGGUGCGAAAGCGUGGGGAGCAAACAGG
Molecule: ribosomal RNA, 253 nt
Filed under: uncultured bacterium
Lineage: Bacteria
Description: partial 16S ribosomal RNA
Rfam family: Bacterial small subunit ribosomal RNA
Source: RNAcentral